CGCCUCCCUCCUCCACCCACACCGCUUCCCCUCAAGCAGGCACGGGCUGAGGGCGGGCUCGCUGCCUCUCCACUCGCCAGCCUUUUUCUCUACGCUCGCCCCCAAGCGACGCGGGUCUGGAGCGGCUGAACGUGAGGAAAAGGGCACGGAGCAGGACAGGCGAGUCAGUAUGUGGCGUGCUGUGAAAGACUUGAGGAGAGCUGGGCUCACGUUCACAAGAGCUUGCCGAGGUCGUUGUGAGGAGUUCCCUGGAAUUUGGACUGGUGACAAAAAGCUUACAAGACUUAGGAGCAAGUGAAGGACCAUCUACUCACAUAUGAUCCUGUAUCAGAUGCCCAGUUCCAGGUAUCCGCUUCUGGGUCGUAAGUUUACAGGUUAACAGGAGUUUUUCUUGGCUGAUCAAUUUUUGACCAUUAAAAAUUAAUGGCGCAAAGAGAACUCUGGAGGAGCAGCAGAAGCUUUGAAAGCAAUUGUACAAACUGAAAGAAUGGCAGUGGUGUACUCUUUACAAAAGCCUGAAAUACUGAUGCAGCCCUUUAAUUAUCAUUUGAUUUCGCUGUCAUUGGUGCUGAGCACCUCAUACAACCCUGGCCACAUAUUUUGCAAAGCUACAGAUAUGCCGAGUCUUUUGCGGUGUGAUGAGUAACCUGAUUUUCCAGUGUCUUUGUGCGAAAACAGAGCUAUAUACUUAUAUCGAGAGAACAUAUGCAUGCUGU
Zootoca vivipara (common lizard) is the source of this 716-nucleotide non-coding RNA. The record is from RefSeq and is a predicted model, not a curated record. Lineage: Eukaryota; Metazoa; Chordata; Lepidosauria; Squamata; Lacertidae.